This 316-nucleotide long non-coding RNA is filed under the name Fragaria vesca (wild strawberry). RNAcentral's name for it is "long non-coding RNA (FVES_LNC002249)". The record is from RNAcentral. Lineage: Eukaryota; Viridiplantae; Streptophyta; Magnoliopsida; Rosales; Rosaceae.
AUUGACAAAGCCUCAAGAUCUGCCUCAGACUUUGGAAACAGGAAAAUGCAAUAAAAUUGAACUUAUUCUUAAGAUGUUAUAAAAAUGUAACAGAUAUUUUGCAAUAAGCUACUGCAAAUUUGUAAAAGAAUCACAUUACAAACUUUAACCCCCCCCCCCCAUGCAAUGCAGUACGUACUCAAUUUCAGACCCAACACAACAGAGACACAGAGUUUAUACUACUUCGCACAGCUUGCAGCCCUCUCAUCAGUUUCAUCUUCUUUCUCUUGGAUUAUAGUCUCUGCAACGUUCAAAACUUCAGAUCUUAUAAGUGCUG